UACGUAGGGGGCGAGCGUUGUCCGGAUUCAUUGGGCGUAAAGCGCGCGUAGGCGGCCCCGCAAGUCGGCCGUGAAAUCUCCGGGCUCAACUCGGAGGGGUCGGGCGAGACUGCGAGGCUCGAGGUGGGCAGAGGGCAGUGGAAUUCCCGGUGUAGCGGUGAAAUGCGCAGAUAUCAGGAGGAACACCGGGGGCGAAGGCGGGUCUCUGGGCCGAUACUGACGCUGAGGAGCGAAAGCGUGGGGAGCGAACAGG
This 253-nucleotide ribosomal RNA is filed under the name uncultured bacterium. RNAcentral describes it as "partial 16S ribosomal RNA". It matches the Rfam family "Bacterial small subunit ribosomal RNA", at positions 524 to 776 of the family's 1533-position model. The record is from RNAcentral.